CCCUUAGAGUUUGAUCCUGGCUCAGAUUGAACGCUGGCGGCAGGCCUAACACAUGCAAGUCGAGCGGUAGAGAGAAGCUUGCUUCUCUUGAGAGCGGCGGACGGGUGAGUAAUGCCUAGGAAUCUGCCUGGUAGUGGGGGAUAACGUCCGGAAACGGACGCUAAUACCGCAUACGUCCUACGGGAGAAAGCAGGGGACCUUCGGGCCUUGCGCUAUCAGAUGAGCCUAGGUCGGAUUAGCUAGUUGGUGAGGUAAUGGCUCACCAAGGCGACGAUCCGUAACUGGUCUGAGAGGAUGAUCAGUCACACUGGAACUGAGACACGGUCCAGACUCCUACGGGAGGCAGCAGUGGGGAAUAUUGGACAAUGGGCGAAAGCCUGAUCCAGCCAUGCCGCGUGUGUGAAGAAGGUCUUCGGAUUGUAAAGCACUUUAAGUUGGGAGGAAGGGUUGUAGAUUAAUACUCUGCAAUUUUGACGUUACCGACAGAAUAAGCACCGGCUAACUCUGUGCCAGCAGCCGCGGUAAUACAGAGGGUGCAAGCGUUAAUCGGAAUUACUGGGCGUAAAGCGCGCGUAGGUGGUUUGUUAAGUUGGAUGUGAAAGCCCCGGGCUCAACCUGGGAACUGCAUUCAAAACUGACAAGCUAGAGUAUGGUAGAGGGUGGUGGAAUUUCCUGUGUAGCGGUGAAAUGCGUAGAU
This 697-nucleotide ribosomal RNA is filed under the name uncultured bacterium. RNAcentral describes it as "bacterial SSU rRNA". It matches the Rfam family "Bacterial small subunit ribosomal RNA", at positions 1 to 695 of the family's 1533-position model. The record is from RNAcentral.